RNAcentral lists this ribosomal RNA (428 nucleotides) under uncultured bacterium. Its description in RNAcentral is "bacterial SSU rRNA". It matches the Rfam family "Bacterial small subunit ribosomal RNA", at positions 28 to 476 of the family's 1533-position model. The record is from RNAcentral.
GAUGAACGCUGGCGGCGCGCCUAACACAUGCAAGUCGAACGGCACCCCUCUCCGGAGGGAAGCGAGUGGCGAACGGCUGAGUAACACGUGGAGAACCUGCCCCCUCCCCCGGGAUAGCCGCCCGAAAGGACGGGUAAUACCGGAUACCCCCGGGCGCCGCAUGGCGCCCGGGCUAAAGCCCCGACGGGAGGGGAUGGCUCCGCGGCCCAUCAGGUAGACGGCGGGGUGACGGCCCACCGUGCCGACAACGGGUAGCCGGGUUGAGAGACCGACCGGCCAGAUUGGGACUGAGACACGGCCCAGACUCCUACGGGAGGCAGCAGUGGGGAAUCUUGCGCAAUGGGGGGAACCCUGACGCAGCGACGCCGCGUGCGGGACGGAGGCCUUCGGGUCGUAAACCGCUUUCAGCAGGGAAGAGUCAAGACUGU